RNAcentral lists this unclassified non-coding RNA (312 nucleotides) under plant metagenome. RNAcentral describes it as "partial contains 5.8S ribosomal RNA, internal transcribed spacer 2, and large subunit ribosomal RNA". The stretch from base 1 to 105 matches the Rfam family "5.8S ribosomal RNA", at positions 50 to 154 of the family's 154-position model. The record is from RNAcentral.
GAAAUGCGAUAAGUAAUGUGAAUUGCAGAAUUCCGUGAAUCAUCGAAUCUUUGAACGCACAUUGCGCCCUCUGGCAUUCCGGGGGGCAUGCCUGUCCGAGCGUCAUUACGCACCCUCAAGCCCGGCUUGUGUGAUGGGCCCCGGCGUCUCGUUCGCGAGACGGGCCCGAAAGGCAGCGGCGGCGUCGACCCGAUGAGCCCGAGCGGAUGGGGACUUCUGUCACACGUUCGCGGUGCGGACCGGCGCCUGCUUGACUUUUCUGAUUAUCCAGGUUGACCUCGGAUCAGGUAGGGAUACCCGCUGAACUUAAGC